UCGGGGUGGUUCCACCUUGCCCCCUGCCGAACUCAGAAGUGAAACGCCGUAGCGCCGAUGGUAGUGUGGGGUCUCCCCAUGCGAGAGUAGGGA
RNAcentral lists this ribosomal RNA (93 nucleotides) under Salmonella enterica subsp. enterica serovar Bareilly str. CFSAN001087. The record is from RNAcentral. Lineage: Bacteria; Pseudomonadati; Pseudomonadota; Gammaproteobacteria; Enterobacterales; Enterobacteriaceae.